This is a long non-coding RNA of Hordeum vulgare subsp. vulgare (domesticated barley), 1425 nucleotides long. RefSeq lists it as uncharacterized. NCBI's taxonomy places the organism in Eukaryota, Viridiplantae, Streptophyta, Magnoliopsida, Poales, Poaceae. The record is from RefSeq and is a predicted model, not a curated record. The transcript is spliced from 2 exons.
GCGCCGAAUCCAUUCCCCCUCCUUACUAGCAACCUCCUGAACCAACCCCGAGCUCUCCCAUGCCAUGUGAUCCGCCCCAUGGUCGUUGUCUUCCGCUGGCCCUUGCUCGAAUCCGAGCCUCUGAGGCGUUCCCUCCCCCUCUGAACUGCACCCUGGAGACCCUAGAGCCGCCACGAACCUCCCCGCAACUUCCCUUCCUCCGUGGGUGGCCGUGGCGUCCUGCCUCCACUACCGUCAGCGCGACCACGCCGGUUAGCUGUCGGCUCGUCCGUCGCUCCCAGCGUAGGAAGAGGCCUCGCGGUGGAGCGGCUCGCCGCCACGAGUGCACCGGUGGCCAGAGCGCCACAAGGGAUGGCCUGAGCCACCGGGACAGAGCGCCGGUGCAUUAGCCUCGCCUCCCCUAUACCUGCUACGCGAUGAGGCCACGUGGGGAAGAAGAACCUCGCUGGUGGGCUGGCGACCCCACCACUCAGUCACUGCUGAUGCGUCUAGCCGGGCCCGCGCAGUUUAAGUGGAGGCAGAUCCACCCGAAGCCGUCUCCCGUGCGGCCAAGGCGGUUUUCACCAAAUAUGCCUUCCGCGUGGCCUUCGCGCGCGCAGCCACGUACUUGGGCCGGCCCAACCGCCAUGCGACGCCUUCAACGCCACAUUUCCCUCUUGUAUAGCCCCUUUCUUCCCUUUUUCCUUUUUUCAGAAAUUUCAAAAAUACAUAAACAAUUCAUUUGGAUUCCAAUUCUGAUGAUUCAAAUUUCUACAGGUUCCUAAAAUCAUGUGCUAUCCACAUAUGUGCAAUCCACAUUUUUCCAUAGGACUUUUCUAUGGGGUUAAUAUUCAAAUACCAAUUUGAAUACUUUAAACACCACCUUGCAAAAAUCCUAGAGGAUUCAAAUCAACUCCAAAUGGAGUUAUUCCAAUUUCCAUAGAUUAUAAAAUCUUGAUCUAAUUUUAAAGCCUUAGGCAACAUUUUUAUUUGCCUUGUUUAUGUUGCAUCAAAUAAAUAACACCUAUUCCUAAUUAUCCCAUAUUGUAAAACACCUAGAAUAUUCAUAUCAACUCUAAAUUCAGUGAAACCACUUCCUAAAUGUUUCUAAAUUCAUGCUUUGUUAAAUAAGUGGCUCCACUCAUUUUUAGCAGAAUGUUUUCUCUAGACUUCUUCAAGGAUCACCUCUUCCUCCUUUCCUCCAUUCAAAAAUAUCUGAUGAUCCAAAUCUCCUAGAGCAAGCUUCAGUUGGCGAUAUAGAUGGAGUACUCAGAGUUGGACCGGAAGACCUCGAAGACCCCGGAGACCUAUUAGAACAAGGCAAGAAGCCCUUCGACCAUGUGUGAGGAAAAUGUUUUAUGCAUGACAUGUUGAUUACUUUAUUCUGAUGCAUAUAGUCAUGAUUAAUUGGUACACCCUUAUAUGGUGUUACCGAUGGCUCCACUA